RNAcentral lists this ribosomal RNA (465 nucleotides) under uncultured bacterium. RNAcentral's name for it is "partial 16S ribosomal RNA". It matches the Rfam family "Bacterial small subunit ribosomal RNA", at positions 28 to 507 of the family's 1533-position model. The record is from RNAcentral.
GACGAACGCUGGCGGCGUGCUUAACACAUGCAAGUCGUACGGUAAGGCCCUUUCGGGGGUCCACGAGUGGCGAACGGGUGAGUAACACGUGAGUAACCUGCCCACAACUUUGGGAUAACGCUAGGAAACUGGUGCUAAUACUGGAUAUGUGCUCCUGCUGCAUGGUGGGGGUUGGAAAGCUCCGGCGGUUGUGGAUGGACUCGCAGCCUAUCAGCUUGUUGGUGGGGUAGUGGCCUACCAAGGCGGCGACGGGUAGCCGGCCUGAGAGGGUGACCGGCCACAUUGGGACUGAGAUACGGCCCAGACUCCUACGGGAGGCAGCAGUGGGGAAUAUUGCACAAUGGGCGCAAGCCUGAUGCAGCAACGCCGCGUGCGGGAUGACGGCCUUCGGGUUGUAAACCGCUUUCAGCAGGGACGAAGCUUUUUGUGACGGUACCUGCAGAAGAAGCACCGGCUAACUACGUG